AUGCUGGAGGUAUCAGAAGUGCGAAUGCUGACAUAAGUAACGAUAAAGCGGGUGAAAAGCCCGCUCGCCGGAAGACCAAGGGUUCCUGUCCAACGUUAAUCGGGGCAGGGUGAGUCGACCCCUAAGGCGAGGCCGAAAGGCGUAGUCGAUGGGAAACAGGUUAAUAUUCCUGUACUUGGUGUUACUGCGAAGGGGGGACGGAGAAGGCUAUGUUGGCCGGGCGACGGUUGUCCCGGUUUAAGCGUGUAGGCUGGUUUUCCAGGCAAAUCCGGAAAA
This 276-nucleotide ribosomal RNA is filed under the name Escherichia coli. RNAcentral describes it as "partial 23S ribosomal RNA". It matches the Rfam family "Bacterial large subunit ribosomal RNA", at positions 1270 to 1549 of the family's 2925-position model. Lineage: Bacteria; Pseudomonadati; Pseudomonadota; Gammaproteobacteria; Enterobacterales; Enterobacteriaceae. The record is from RNAcentral.